This is a long non-coding RNA of Sinocyclocheilus rhinocerous, 1269 nucleotides long. RefSeq lists it as uncharacterized. The record is from RefSeq and is a predicted model, not a curated record. NCBI's taxonomy places the organism in Eukaryota, Metazoa, Chordata, Actinopteri, Cypriniformes, Cyprinidae. The transcript is spliced from 2 exons.
ACCGUUCCUUUUAAUAUUGCACUUAGAUGAAAUGAAACAGACAAAGAAUGGAAGUACUCUGUAUCUCAUCUUUAUAUCAAUAAAUGGUGCAAAUCUGAAAAGAUAGAGGGUCAACAGAGUAAAAGCAGUUAUGAGUUUCUGAAUGUUUUGCAUGAGAUAAAAUAGACACUUCAAAAUGAUUCUGAGCAAUAUUUUCAGCCCGUUAAACAGACCAAACUGAGAGAGGGAUUGAUACAAAGCCUGUUCUUUCUUUCAAAAUAAGCACAGAAUGAAUCAUCCAUUUAAAAUUGUUCCAAUUUGUCACUACUGGUCUGCAUUAAGAAAAAAAAAAAAAAAAACAUUGUUUAUUGUGUGCAUUUCAAUAUUUCCGAAAUCAUUUCCACUCCAGUCAAAUUGCUGAAGCAAUUUGCAAUUCGAACCAUUUUUAUAAUUGAAAAGAAGCAACACAAUUACCAAUGAGAAGAAAACUAGAAUUUUUCAGUUGUUAAACCAUAUUUCAUGCAUAAUUUCAACUUAGCCGCUUGUAACAUGAUGUUGAUGUACCACUGAGGUGAAUAUGAAAUUUAUUGCCAUCAACAUAAAACAAAUCAGUGCAAACUCGCUCCAAUGAUGCUGCCCAACAAAUGCACCACCAGAAACCCUAGGAGUUUUAAUAUUCUGCAAAUAUGCCAAACAAUUGUUACAGUAUACUAGCAUGCAGACCAGUUGAGAAAGAAAACAACACUACAGGAUCUGCACAGUAAAAAAAGGAAUAAUACAAUGUGUUUGUCAGAUUGUGUCUGUUGAAGGCACAUUUUAACACGUCAGGUGCACAGGCGACCAUUUCUUUAUACUGAAACUCAUAUCUGUAUCACAUACAGGGAAAAGUCAAAUCUGUGAAAAAGUGCCCUUCUCUUACAAACCAUUAAAAUAAAAACGUACAGCAUACAUUCACAGGUAAUAAAGAAAAAAAAAAAAAACAGCCGCCACAAUGAUGAAAGUGAAACACGCUUCAAGAUAGACCAUACGCAUAUAGAUAAAUAAUCUGUUUGCUUUUUUCAAUGCUUCGAGAACCCCUUUCCUUUCACAGUCGUCGUAGAUCUUGCAUUGCAGACCAAAGUUAACCAUAAUUAAUGGUGUGCCUUAAAAGGUACAAAGACAAUGUUAUUUGGUAAUUGCAAAAGAACACAGUAACGCAUUUUUCUUACAAUAAAAAAAAAUAAUAAAUGAAUGAUUGAAAGGGUGAAUAAAAGGUCAUGAAAUAUGCAUGUGAUGUGCCUAAAAAGACAA